UGAUCAAUACACUCAUUAUCGACCACAGCUGCUGAUCGAUCAGUCUGCGUCGGCCCAGAAACGAUGACGUAAUGUUACAGAUCAGCUUAAACUAUCGAUCCUCAGAGAGAGGCUCAGUCACACACCUCAGAGGGGAAACGGGACCCCUUUCUUCUUUUGUGGUUAAUAAGUUUUUACAUUCAGCUCAGAAGUUUUACACUUGUAACGUCAAAUAUUCAAAUAAAAGUACACAAAUGUAUGAAUGAUGUGCUUUUACUGCAACAGAGUCCCUCUGAGCUGCAGUAAAACCCGAGUUUGCUGCAGUAAAAUCAGACCUUGUGUCUGUUAGCAGGUGCAGGUAGUAAGCUGUGCACACCUUUACCUGCAUCUUCAUAAGUAGCUGACUAACUGCCUGUAUCCGUUGCUCAUACUGAGGCUGCGGGUCAGCCACCCUGCCUCUGUGAGCCUCUGCAGGGCGACGGUGUGGAGCCGUGUGGGGCUCUGAGGGUCUGAUGAAGGUUGUUGUUGUGUUGUUGUGCCUCUGCGGUUUACUUCUUCACUCACUCUAAGGAGCCUCCACAGUAAUGACAUGUUAGCUGUGGCUGUUAGUGGGACACACGGCAGGUCAAAGGUCAGGGUCGAGGACACUGCCUUGUUUCCGUUAGUGUUUCUGUCACGUUUGAGUUCAGUUCACAUAACAACAGGACAGCAGAGAGUUUCAGGCUUUAGGUUGAAACAACUAAACGUGUUUGUGUUCUCACUGUUUUAGUUUUAACAUAGCACAAACGUAAAACAUGGUAUAAAUCUAAACUGUGACUUAAAGUCACUGUUUAAAAGAUAAUAAGUGUAAAAUGUGUGUGGUGAUCAGAUUAAAAAUCAGAUUCACUCAAAAAUCCAAAUUAUAACCUUUUUAUAUUUUGUGCAUUACAGUAAAACUUUAACUGAAAACGUUUGUGUUUUUAUAAAAGUGUCAAACAUUUUGUUAACGUGUUUCAUUUACAUCAGGAUAAAAUCAGCAAGAGCCAAUCAGAUAUCACGACAGCAAACACGGAGGGGAAAAUAAAUAAACACAUGAGAAUAAAAUGAUAAGAAAUGAGGAAGCGUCCUGUUCACUGAGAAAUAAACAGAAAAAUUCAGUAAAGUCACAUUAAAAUGAAUGUGACUUUAGUGUCACUGAUUCA
Long non-coding RNA from Oreochromis niloticus (Nile tilapia), 1160 nucleotides. RefSeq lists it as uncharacterized. The transcript has 2 exons. The record is from RefSeq and is a predicted model, not a curated record. NCBI's taxonomy places the organism in Eukaryota, Metazoa, Chordata, Actinopteri, Cichliformes, Cichlidae.